Molecule: long non-coding RNA, 3989 nt
Filed under: Homo sapiens (human)
Lineage: Eukaryota; Metazoa; Chordata; Mammalia; Primates; Hominidae
Description: HSALNT0365252
Source: RNAcentral
UGCCCCAUAGAGAGGGCCCUGUGGGGAGGAGGCUAGCCACGCAGACAGCCUGCUGCUAGGUGUGCCGUGGAACCACGGAGCUAAUUGCAGAUCUGGUCACCACCAUGCUGAGCGCCAGGGAGGAGGGAAUGGGGAGACACUAAGCCCACGAGACAGGAACACAGUGCCUGGUGAAACAGAGCCAGCCAGUGCUGAUGCAAGUAUUGACUGAGUUCAUAACCUGAUCUGCCGUGGGAGGGGGAAUAUUUGACAGAACGCAUCAGCCGAGGGUGGUGAGCCAGGCACUGGGAGAGUGAGCAAGACAGGCCAAGCGGGGAUGCCCUCGGCCACGACCACCUUCUCUCAGGGUCUUUCCACCCUGAUGAUCCCGAGGAACCCAACGUGCCCCCUACGGCAAUUCCGUCUGUUUCCAACUCCUCAUUGGCUUCAUGUGGGCUUCCCGGGUUCAUUGCUCAUCUGCGUGGAAUCUGCUGAAGCCACAGCACUGAGCUGAAGCUCACUGGUUCUUGAAUGUCACUAGCUGCUCCUGUCCCUGGGCCAUUCAAUGUCAGUGUCCGCCCUGUGGCUCUUCCUUGCUUUCUAGCUGCCAGUCAGCCACUUCCCGUCUUCCUCUCUUCAGUCCUCUCUCCCUUCCCCAGUGCACCUUAAACCCUUCUGGCUGCACUGAUGGGCUCUCCUUUCUAGCAUUUCUGUCUGAUCUCUGACCCUAACCCUGUCCUGGCCUGGGAGUGCCCUGAGAUCCUGACUGCCCUUCUUGGCUCCCAGGCAGGGCUCAGUCCCGGGAGAUGGGCCUUAGGAGGUGCAGACUCCUGCUGGGCCAACUUAGCAUUUUCCACAGCAGGUAGGCAGGCAGUCACAUGGUCACAUGGCCCAUCCCAAAUCUCUACAUCACAACCCAGAUUUUCUCCAUUAAGGGUAUCGAUUUCCUCAGCUGAACUGCUGGGAUCAAAGGCAGCCUUAGCAACUCGGCAGUUCAUUAAGUCCCAGCUGUCCCAGGGGACUGGCCUGGUGGAUAAACAUGUGAGCAGGUGGCCAUGCUGGGACCUUGAGGGCAGCCUGCUGCCAGGAGUGCUCAGGCUGGACCUGGGCAGGGCAGCAGGAAGGGCAGACCUCAGGCUGCCCUUUUGUCCCCUCCCUCCAAGAACUGGGCUUUGGGGCCCUCCCCAGGGCCCGCAGGAACCAUAUGGGGAUACUGCACCUGCUCCCACCCUGCUCCUGCCAUUUUCCUACCUGCCCUCCCACCAGAUACCUGCCAGGCCUUGUGCUGGGCACUGAAGAUGCAGAGCUUCCUAAGCCUCUAACCCCACCCUCAAGGAGCUCCCACUCCAGUGAGGAAGGCAGACCCCAUACCAUAGCGUUACCAGGCUGCGUACUAACAUCUGAUCGUCAGAACCAUUCCCAACUCAGAGAUUAAGUGUGAUAGGCAGCCUGUUUCAACCAGAGCAUUUCCUCUAGAUUUUUGUUCUUGCUUUUCAAAGUGACUCAUUGGAAAAAUUUUGGGUGAUACAGACCCUGAAGCACAAAGUAGAACAUGAAAUUUACACUAAUCAAGGCUGUUGGUUUUUCCAACUUCCCUUCCCUCUGCCUGAUCUGGAGACUGAGGUAAAGCAGAGCACACCUGGAUGGGGUUGGCCCUGCGUCUCAGGCCAACAGUGUCUGUCCUCCACAGGUGAGGGUAACCUGAGACGGUGCCAGGAGGGAGGAUGCAGCUUUCCUCUUGCCCCCAGCCCCGGAACCUGAACUUUCUCCUCCUGAGCUCCGAUCUGCCUUCACUUCCCAUUUGUUCUCUCUCAUUGCCCCCCAACUCACAUGAAUGUGAGCACUUAGAUGCAAGGACUUUUUAGGGAAAUUAAAGGUGUACAGUACCCCCACUCCUUCCUUCUUUCACUCCCUUAUCCUGAGGACUAAGAGGAAGAGCUGAAGGGGCAACGUUCCAGGGGACUAUUAGAGGCCAGGAGACAAGCGGGCCUGGCAACAAGCCACGGUUGCAGGUGCUGACCGGCCCCCUCAUCCCUCCCCACUGGGUGCCCAGGGUGUGUGAGGUGGAGGUGGCCCUAGAGGUGGAAGAGCUGCCCCCUGAACAUGCAGGGCCUGUGGUUUCACUGAAGACAGCAGGUUAACAUGGAGGAAACAGGAUGAGACAGGGCAGGCUGGCUUGUGGUCUUUUCUGAGUGACCCCUAAACCAGGGACUCAGACAGGUCUGGGGCUGGGGAAGCUGCUGGGUGGGAGCAUUUUCCCCAGUUCCUAUAAUGCAAAGUAACAGUCACUUCUCUUGCUCCAAAGCUUCAUUGCUGGCUGCAGUCAGAGUCUGGGCUCUUGCCCACACUUCGUUCUUCUCCUCCAAUCACAGGGAGGGGUUGGUGGAGUCACUCGCUUGCCCAGUCAUUCCAUCAGCAGAUGUUUGCUGAGUGCUGAUUGGGUGCCAGGCACUGUGCCUGACCCUGGGGACACAAUGCUGAGCAAAACAGACAUGGCCUCUUUCCCCUAGCAGACCUACAUCUGAAGGCAAGCAUCCCAGUUUUCAGCUUGAAACCACCCUGCAGCUCCAGGGAUGGGACAGGCAGGUGGAGAGAGGAGUUUGGGUUGAGACUGUAUAAAGACUCAGACUGAACCCUUACUCUUAAAUUAGGCAGAGAUCUACUACUGCCCCCAAAACACCCUUCCCCAAAGAAGGGCCGCUGGGAAGGGGUGUGGGGAUAGGGAACCAACAUUUGUUUAGUUCUGAAAGUGCUAGGAAUAGGGUAGGCUGAGUGCCUCACAUUUCUUGUCUUAAUCCUCACCAAAACCCUGGGAGGUGAAUAUCAUAAUCCCAAUUUGCAGACCAGGAAGCUGAGGCUCAAUGGAACAAAUUAUCUCAUCAUUAUCGUGGGUAAUGCAUAACCCGGUCUGGCUGCAGGGCCUAUGCCUUUUCCACAACAUCAUUUAUCUCUGGGAAACAUACAAGACCUUCGUUCUGCCCUCUGAGCACUGCAGACAUGUGAAGACCUUGACCCCCUGGGAAAUUGUUCCCACUUUCUGCUUUGAAGAAAAUGAUAGAGGAAGUGCCAGAGUGCACUCUCUUCCCUUUCUAAACGUCGGCCUCUCUUUUCCCUCCUGCAUCUUCCUAGUCCUGGAAAUCCCUGUUGUCCCCGCCUUUGUCCCAGAAAAUCCCAAAAACGCUUCACGUGAGUCUAUUUAAAUCCCCACUCUCAGCACUCAGGACCGGUUCUGGUUUCCUGGUGUGGCCUGGGCCUCCAUCUGGUUUGGAGGCUAUUUUGAUCCACCGGAUGCAGAUUAGCUGCUGCGAUCUGGGGCUGAGCUGCUGGAGAGAUGCCUUUAUCUACAGAAGGACAAUUUGAAAACUAACUCAAAGCAUCGAGAACAAAUAAAUAAAUUCCUCUUUCCGUUCCCAGCACUCUCCAUCCUAUUUCUACAGGUGAGGCGACUCUGAGGCAGGAGGUCCAAGUUUGCUGGACAAUGGCAGAAACAGAAUUCAAACACCUGUCUUCUAGGAGAAGUUCUGGUCUCUCCUCGGUGCUGCGGCUGCCCCGGGAAGAGUUUCCAGGAGCUGACAAGCAUUCAGAUGAGUAAAGAUGGGAUCGGAUUGAGAAAAGGAGAAGGGAGAGCAUAUUCGUUCUCUUUCCACCUCCCUCCCACAGCCUUUCAUGCUGAUCUCAUCUGACGAAGCUGCCUCCUCCUCCCUGGACUCUACAAGCCCCUGUCAUGAUGUUUCUCAGAUCCUGAAUUCCAGCGAAACAGAUGAUACUAACAAGUUUGAAGACCCCCACAGAGGAAUGGAAUCAGUAUGAGAACACAGUUUCUUCAUCUCCCUGUCCCAGAACUUCACCCUGGACUCCUCGACCAAUCAACAAUCUCCACACUUCGGCCCACUCCAAAACUCCUAAAAUCCCAAGCUCCAAACUCCUCUGGGAGAUGGAUUUGAGGCUUCCUCCCGUUUCCUUGUGUGGAAGCCCUGUCAUUAAACCUCUUUCUCUGCUGCAACCUGAUG